Carassius auratus (goldfish) is the source of this 1980-nucleotide RNA transcript. It is a transcript of the gene named actin cytoskeleton-regulatory complex protein PAN1-like, with no coding region annotated. The transcript has 3 exons. Lineage: Eukaryota; Metazoa; Chordata; Actinopteri; Cypriniformes; Cyprinidae. The record is from RefSeq and is a predicted model, not a curated record.
GAGAAAGAGAUGGUUUCUUUUGAAUAUAUUGUGAUAAUAUAAUGUGAUGUACACUAGCCUACUCCACUCCAUUCUUUGUGCUUUUGUUGCUGUUGUUUCCAAUUCUGUGACACUUAAACGGUUAAUAUAUAGAUCUUGGCCAUGUUGAAAUCAUAAAGAAAAUGAAUGCUGCCCAAGAUUUGCAGCACAUCAGUUAUGGUCCCUAUAUCCAUUAAAUACUAACAAAAGUUAAUAUGGUAUAUAAUACCACAUGGUGAAUCAUCUGUGAUUAUGUGUCAAGCACACAAACCUUUCUGUAUAAGAUUCAGUCAUAUUUAGACUGACUCCAGGCUUACAUGCCUUUGCCAUUCAGUUUUGCAAUUCUACUGUUUGUCUCAAGUUUUUGACUGUUGCUCUAUUUUCCCGCAGACCUUUCUGUAAAAAAAAAAAAAAAAAAACCUAUUGUGGUUGUAUUCAUGUGUCUUCGUUUCCUUUGCAAUACAUCAAAGUUGACUCUCAUGCUGUAUCUAUCCAGCGAGCCAAUCAGUGCUCCGCAGGUCAUUGGUGCCGCCCACUGAACUGAUGCAGAGAUGAAAGCUGUACAGCAGUCUUUGCUAACGGUGUGUGUGCGUGCCUAUAAAGUAGUCAGUUCAUCCACCUGCCUCAUCUGAAGCUUUCAUCGACAGCCUGUCAUUGGUUGUGGAGACAUGCAGCACCAAGACUUGCCUUUACAGACACAAAGGUCACACAGAUGAACUCCAGAAAUCUUUUGCCUCUUCAGUUAUUGAGCAAAAACGUUUGAUUAGCUCAGCUUGUUGCUCAAGUUACAAGGGUUAAAUGUCAUAUUGAAAAACAUCUGCAUACACUGCUUCAACACAUUAACUUCCACCAGGCUUGGAGCUGGUGCAACUCAUCCUCAAAAGCAUAUUUCUUAAGCUUCUAAAACAUACCAGAAUAUAAUAUUAAUCCUGCAAGGAGAAGGAACGCUGUGAUUUGUUUUUACGACCACAUUUGUGUAUGAGUGUGUAGGAGACAUCUUUCUGCACAUGCUCAGACCUGAGAGACCUUGCCUUCAAACCACAUCCUGAUUAACACAAGAUAAAAUUGAUCUGCUGUAAGAUCUGAGGAUUUUACCAUAUCAGCUCACCUGUUCAAACAGAUCACCUCAAACUCCUAGACAAGCCAUGGAUUUUGAGAAGAACAAAGAAGGAUGUAAAAACUGCCAAAAGAAUUGCAAUAACAAAUGCCAAUGUCAUUGUCAUACAAUAACCCAAAGUCCUAAACCUAAGCAAAGGACUGAGGAGAAGACGUCUGGAGGGCCUUCAAAAGAGUGCGGCUCCUGUGAUUGCGGCCACUGUGAUGGUGACUUCUGUGACAGUGGCUCCUGUGACUGUGGCUCCUGUGACUGUGGCUCCUGUGACUGUGGUUCCUGUGACUGUGGCUCCUUUGAUUGCGACUCCUGUGAUUGCGACUCCUGUGACUCCUAUGACGGUGGCUCAAGUGAUGGUGGUGCUGGUGAUGGUGGCUCAUAUUACUGCGGCCCCUGUGAUUGCGGCCCCUGUGAUUGUGGCUCCUGUGAUUGUGGCUCCUGUGAUUGUGGUUCCUGUAUUAGUCAGUGAAUGUUUGCAGGAUAAUGGUCAGACAGAUGGAAUUGUGAAGAUGACGCAGCACUCAGGACGGGUUUCAGCUCCAGUGAAGUACCUCAUCAAGACAAAGACAACAGCACUAUGAUCUACAAUAAAUAUCAGGACCCCUUUAGUGCCAUCAUGGAUGUUAAACAUCAUAAAAACAAUAUUAUCUGUACAUAUAAAUACAAUUACAACCAAACGGUCAAAUUAAACACAAUAACAAAUCAGUUCAGUUAAAUGUUUUUUUGCCAGUGCUCUGAAUAUCUGUAUUUUUAAGAAAAUUUGUCUGUUUUAAUUUAAUUAAAUUUUUUGGAUUUUACAACAACGAGAACAUUGUCUCUCAAUUUUGAAAUGAUUUUAAGCAUUAUGCACU